AUACUCUGGUUUCUCUUCAGAUCGUAUAAAUCUUUCGCCUUUUACUAAAGAUUUCCGUGGAGAGGAACAACCACGAGUGUGAGAUC
Molecule: small nuclear RNA, 86 nt
Organism: Oxyura jamaicensis (ruddy duck)
Lineage: Eukaryota; Metazoa; Chordata; Aves; Anseriformes; Anatidae
Product: U5 spliceosomal RNA
Exons: 1
Source: RefSeq, a predicted model, not a curated record